RNAcentral lists this unclassified non-coding RNA (248 nucleotides) under uncultured fungus. Its description in RNAcentral is "sequence contains ITS1". The record is from RNAcentral. Lineage: Eukaryota; Fungi.
AAAAGCGCUCCGGUAUUAAUACUACCGGAGAUCACACCGCCCGCGCCGCUAAGCCGUAUCCUACCGGGAUGCCGCUUGGUAGCAGGAUGUGUCCACCCAUUGUUGAAACUUCUACUUUGCUUCGGCAGCACUCUCCCCGCUACGGUGCGGAAGAGGUAAGGCUGUCAGAAGCCCGUAACAAAAACCGGUUGAUGAAAUGUCAUGCUGUCUGAUGCUUUUUAGUAUUUUGAGAAAUCGAAUUACCGUUA